AACCAAGUAACCUAUCAUAGUGCACCCAUCCCAUGACUGCCCAAUCUCAAUCCGUAUCUCUAAACAUAAUAUAUAAAACCAUACCUAUUAUCCUCUCCCAACGACCCUUACUCUAUCCUAUCCUAUUGAACCAACAUGUUAUACAUAAACUUGAAAAAAGUCUGAAAUGAAGAUGCGCCAUGGUUCUUGAAUUUACGUCUCU
Molecule: long non-coding RNA, 202 nt
Filed under: Elaeis guineensis (African oil palm)
Lineage: Eukaryota; Viridiplantae; Streptophyta; Magnoliopsida; Arecales; Arecaceae
Description: long non-coding RNA (EGUI_LNC014975)
Source: RNAcentral